CCUACGGGGGGCAGCAGUGAGGAAUAUUGGUCAAUGGCCGGAAGGCUGAACCAGCCAUGCCGCGUGAAGGUCAGUGCCCUAUGGGCGUUAAACUUCUUUUGUGCGGGAGCAAUAAUGGUCACGUGUGGCCAGACGAGAGUACCGUACGAAUAAGCAUCGGCUAACUCCGUGCCAGCAGCCGCGGUAAUACGGGGGAUGCAAGCGUUAUCCGGAUUUAUUGGGUUUAAAGGGUGCGUAGGCUGUGAGGUAAGUCAGCGGUGAAAUGCCCCCGCUCAACGGGGUGAAGUGCCAUUGAUACUGGCUGGCUGGAAUGCGGAUGAGGUGGGAGGAAUGUGUGGUGUAGCGGUGAAAUGCAUAGAUAUCACACAGAACACCAAUUGCGAAGGCAUCUCACGAAUCCGCGAUUGACGCUGAUGCACGAAAGCGUGGGUAUCAAACAGGAUUAGAUACCCCAGUAGUC
Molecule: ribosomal RNA, 460 nt
Filed under: uncultured bacterium
Lineage: Bacteria
Description: partial 16S ribosomal RNA
Rfam family: Bacterial small subunit ribosomal RNA
Source: RNAcentral